Molecule: transfer RNA, 75 nt
Filed under: Candidatus Bathyarchaeota archaeon
Lineage: Archaea; Thermoproteati; Candidatus Bathyarchaeota
Also listed under: 2 other names
Description: tRNA-Arg
Rfam family: tRNA
About the family: Transfer RNA (tRNA) molecules are approximately 80 nucleotides in length. Their secondary structure includes four short double-helical elements and three loops (D, anti-codon, and T loops).
Source: RNAcentral
GGGCGGGUAGCUCAGGACGGAUAGAGCAUCACCCUCCUAAGGUGGGGGUCGUGGGUUCAAAUCCCACCCCGCCCG